RNAcentral lists this transfer RNA (84 nucleotides) under Anaerostipes sp. Marseille-Q3525. RNAcentral's name for it is "tRNA-OTHER". It matches the Rfam family "tRNA". Rfam says of the family: Transfer RNA (tRNA) molecules are approximately 80 nucleotides in length. Their secondary structure includes four short double-helical elements and three loops (D, anti-codon, and T loops). The record is from RNAcentral. Lineage: Bacteria; Bacillati; Bacillota; Clostridia; Lachnospirales; Lachnospiraceae.
UCCUAUAUACCUCAGUUGGUAGAGGAUCAUCACAGCAAGUAUAACAUUAGAUGAAAGUCGCUGGUUCGAAUCCAGCUAUAGGAA